RNAcentral lists this non-coding RNA (21 nucleotides) under Arabidopsis thaliana (thale cress). Lineage: Eukaryota; Viridiplantae; Streptophyta; Magnoliopsida; Brassicales; Brassicaceae. The record is from RNAcentral.
GCAGUUUUGCUUUCAGACUGA